RNAcentral lists this ribosomal RNA (468 nucleotides) under uncultured bacterium. Its description in RNAcentral is "partial 16S ribosomal RNA". It matches the Rfam family "Bacterial small subunit ribosomal RNA", at positions 28 to 507 of the family's 1533-position model. The record is from RNAcentral.
GACGAACGCUGGCGGCGUGCUUAACACAUGCAAGUCGAACGGAAAGGCCCUGCUUUUGUGGGGUGCUCGAGUGGCGAACGGGUGAGUCACACGUGAGUAACCUGCCCUUGACUUUGGGAUAACUUCAGGAAACUGGGUCUAAUACCGGAUAGGAGCUCCUGCUGCAUGGUGGGGGUUGGAAAGUUUCGGCGGUUGGGGAUGGACUCGCGGCUUAUCAGCUUGUGGGUGGGGUAGUGGCUUACCAAGGCUUUGACGGGUAGCCGGCAUGAGAGGGUGACCGGCCACAUUGGGACUGAGAUACGGCGCAGACUCCUACGGGAGGCAGCAGUGGGGAAUAUUGCACAAUGGGCGGAAGCCUGAUGCAGCAACGCCGCGUGCGGGAUGACGGCCUUCGGGUUGUAAACCGCUUUCGCCUGUGACGAAGCGUGAGUGACGGUAAUGGGUAAAGAAGCACCGGCUAACUACGUG